GGAUUAGAUACCCUGGUAGUCCACGCCGUAAACGAUGAGAACUAGAUGUCGGGAGGGAUUAGCCUCUCGGUGUCGCAGCUAACGCGUUAAGUUCUCCGCCUGGGGAGUACGGUGGCAACACUAAAACUCAAAGGAAUUGACGGGGACCCGCACAAGCGGUGGAGCAUGUGGUUUAAUUCGAUGCAACGCGAAGAACCUUACCUGCCCUUGACAUUGACAGAACCCUUUAGAGAUAGAGGGGUGCUUCGGCCUGGAAAACAGGUGCUGCAUGGCUGUCGUCAGCUCGUGCCG
Molecule: ribosomal RNA, 291 nt
Filed under: uncultured bacterium
Lineage: Bacteria
Description: partial 16S ribosomal RNA
Rfam family: Bacterial small subunit ribosomal RNA
Source: RNAcentral